CUGGCUCAGGAUGAACGCUAGCUACAGGCUUAACACAUGCAAGUCGAGGGGCAUCAGGGUCUGUGCUUGCACAGAUUGCUGGCGACCGGCGCACGGGUGAGUAACGCGUAUCCAACUUCCCCUUAGUAGAGGAUAGCCCGGCGAAAGUCGGAUUAAUACUCUAUGUUGUUCGAUGCGGACAUCUAAGUUGAACCAAAGGUUUACCGCUAAGGGAUGGGGAUGCGUCUGAUUAGGUAGUAGGCGGGUAACGGCCCACCUAGCCAACGAUCAGUAGGGGUUCUGAGAGGAAGGUCCCCCACAUUGGAACUGAGACACGGUCCAAACUCCUACGGGAGGCAGCAGUGAGGAAUAUUGGUCAAUGGACGAGAGUCUGAACCAGCCAAGUAGCGUGCCAGGAUGACGGCCCUAUGGGUUGUAAACUGCUUUUAUGCGGGGAUAAAGUGAGGGACGUGUCCCUUAUUGUAGGUACCGCAUGAAUAAGGACCGGCUAAUUCCGUGCCAGCAGCGGC
This 509-nucleotide ribosomal RNA is filed under the name uncultured bacterium. RNAcentral describes it as "bacterial SSU rRNA". It matches the Rfam family "Bacterial small subunit ribosomal RNA", at positions 19 to 518 of the family's 1533-position model. The record is from RNAcentral.